CCUCUUUUCUUGGCAUGCACGCCGUUUCCUUGUACUCGUGUAUGUUAUGGAGGGACAAAAUGCCCAGUGCUAUGUCUUCGGUGCCAGAAUGUUUCUCGUCUUCUGGUUCUAUCCUCAGUCACUGGUAUACUC
This is a small nucleolar RNA of Coregonus clupeaformis (lake whitefish), 132 nucleotides long. RefSeq annotates it as small nucleolar RNA SNORA57. The transcript has a single exon. NCBI's taxonomy places the organism in Eukaryota, Metazoa, Chordata, Actinopteri, Salmoniformes, Salmonidae. The record is from RefSeq and is a predicted model, not a curated record.